This 1574-nucleotide long non-coding RNA is filed under the name Homo sapiens (human). RNAcentral describes it as "non-protein coding lnc-FAM153C-7:1". The record is from RNAcentral. Lineage: Eukaryota; Metazoa; Chordata; Mammalia; Primates; Hominidae.
CUGUACCUUACACUCAGCACAACAUCUUGGGCUCACAAUCACUCUGUGACCCUCUAAGUCACCCAGACCAUGAGGACAUGGUGAGAUUUGGGAAAUUCUAACCUUUUAAGGAAUUCCUGACCUUACAGAAUCUAGACCGUCAAGGGCAUCUUGUCUUCCUGCCUGUUCAGAGCCCCCAAUUUGCUUGAAUCUUGCAAAGUGCUGUUGACACUGAAAAACCACUCAACAUGCCAACCCCAACCCAGGAAAUACCCUGACCACACUAGCCUGAUCCAUAGGAUAUUUUGACGAAGAAAAGACAUAUCCAGGUCUCCCAAAGCACUCUGACCAUCCAACAUGCCUUUGACACAGGGGAUGUCUUAAUGCCAGGGCUCUCCAACCUUCCAGUGUACUCUGGUUGUCUCAGCCCUAGAGUUGUCAGUAGGCACCCUAGUCACUGUCACUCUCCCACUCUCCCAAUACACAGACAGCCCAGCACAGCUUCAACACACUAGGACCCCCUGAAUCCAAAAGGUGAUUAUUCUAACUCUUGAGAUUCUGUCCUCUCAAGGCAACUAUUCCCUGCAAGACCCUCUGUAGAAUACACAUUCCCAGAACUACCGGAACAUCUUCACCUCUACCAUACUCUCACCCCUCUGUAGAAUACACAUCCCAGAACUGCCAGGACACCUUCACUCUGCCAUACUGUCACCCCUCUGUAGAAUACACAUUCCCAGAACUGCCAGGACAUCUUCACUUCUGCCAUACUCUCACCCCUCUGUAGAAUACACAUCCCAGAACUGCCAGGACACCUUCACUUCUGCCAUACUCUCACCCCUCUGUAGAAUACACAUCCCAGAACUGCCAGGACACCUUCACUCUGCCAUACUCUCACCCGUCUGUAGAAUACACAUCCCAGAACUGCCAGGACACCUUCACUCUGCCAUACUCUCACCCGUCUGUAGAAUACACAUCCCAGAACUGCCAGGACACCUUCACUCUGCCAUACUCUCACCCGUCUGUAGAAUACACAUCCCAGAACUGCCAGGACACCUUCACUCUGCCAUACUCUCACCCCUGCCUAGCACACUGUGCUCAUCCAGGACCCUCUGAUUUCCUGAAAAUGCUUUGAUUGCACAAGAAUACCUUGGCACUCUACUCCAUGACAGAUCCAUUCAAGUCUACCCAAACCUUCAAGGACCACCUGAGCUCCAGAAAACCUUGAUCUCCCGCAUUCAAAUACCAAAAGUAUAUGCUGACCUACCUGAAAACCUUCACAGCUCUGGACUCCCAGAACAUCCAGGAGCCUCUGAAUCACGCAGCCAGACCAACCUCCAAAACAUCCUAACUCCAUGCAAGUGGUGUGAUCUUCCAGGACAGUCUGACCUCGAAGCUGGUGAUGUUGUAAGGAUACUUCAAGUGUUCUGACAUGAUGAAAAUGCCUGUAGGCCCAGAACACCUGCCUGCCCUGACGCCCUGUCUCUCCAAUACCCCUGCCUUCCCAAUACCCCUGCCUUCCCAAGAUGCUCCAAGUCUCCCAGACUCUCUGACUUUCACCAUUAAGAUCUCAUCUGAUCCUAUGUGAUCUCUUUGGA